CCUACGGGAGACAGCAGUGAGGAAUAUUGGUCAAUGGGCGCGAGCCUGAACCAGCCAAGUCGCGUGAGGGAAGACGGUCCUAUGGAUUGUAAACCUCUUUUGUAGGGGAGCAAAAGACGCCACGCGUGGCGUUCCGUGAGUCCCCGAAGAAAACGCAUCGGCUAACUCCGUGCCAGCAGCCGCGGUAAUACGGAGGAUGCGAGCGUUACCCGGAUUUAUUGGGUUUAAGGGGUGCGCAGGCGGAAGGUCAAGUCAGCGGUAAAGUUGAGGGGCUCAACCUCUUCGAGCCGUUGAAACUGGUUUUCUUGAGUGAGCGAGAGGUAUGCGGAAUGCGUGGUGUAGCGGUGAAAUGCAUAGAUAUCACGCAGAACUCCGAUUGCGAAGGCAGCAUACCGGCGCUCAACUGACGUUCAUGCACGAAAGUGUGGGUAUCGAACAGGAUUAGAUACCCGAGUAGUC
RNAcentral lists this ribosomal RNA (459 nucleotides) under uncultured bacterium. RNAcentral's name for it is "partial 16S ribosomal RNA". It matches the Rfam family "Bacterial small subunit ribosomal RNA", at positions 338 to 795 of the family's 1533-position model. The record is from RNAcentral.